This 107-nucleotide non-coding RNA is filed under the name Bacillota bacterium. Its description in RNAcentral is "Firmicutes bacterium Glycine sequence". It matches the Rfam family "Glycine riboswitch aptamer". From Rfam's summary of the family: This family represents the bacterial glycine riboswitch. Glycine riboswitches usually consist of two metabolite-binding aptamers domains with similar structures in tandem. The record is from RNAcentral. Lineage: Bacteria; Bacillati; Bacillota.
GCACUAAACUCAGGAGAGUCUCUUCAAAAAAAUGUAAAGGAAGAGCGCCGAAGGUGUACGCAGCAAUUUGCUGUUAAUCUCUCAGGCAAAAGGAUGGAGGAAUAUUA